This is a long non-coding RNA of Bombyx mori (domestic silkworm), 354 nucleotides long. RefSeq lists it as uncharacterized. The transcript is spliced from 2 exons. The record is from RefSeq and is a predicted model, not a curated record. Lineage: Eukaryota; Metazoa; Arthropoda; Insecta; Lepidoptera; Bombycidae.
CAGACUUUAAAAAAUAACAAAAUUUGACAAUUUACAAUAAACAAAGAGUCCGGAUAUUUCUAUGUAUGUGUUGUGUCAAAUAUAUGAUGAUGAUAUACACCAACCUGGAGUGCGGCAAGGAUUGCGCGCCAUCGGUGGGUGGACAGGCCGGAUGCGUCAGCGUGUGGCGUCGCAUGGAGGCGCGUCGCGACGGACACUGCGUCGCCAGGUCGUAUGCUAUAAACAUAACAUUUACUGCAAUUAAAUAUAACUAGAUGACCGAGCGUUGUUCGGUUUUUUUUGUUGAUAAAACGUGUUUUUUUUUUUGAAAUUAUAUUUAAUUAUGAAUUACAUAGGUUAUUUGUUAUUAUAUUA